Molecule: ribosomal RNA, 253 nt
Filed under: uncultured prokaryote
Description: partial 16S ribosomal RNA
Rfam family: Bacterial small subunit ribosomal RNA
Source: RNAcentral
ACGGAGGGUGCAAGCGUUGUCCGGAAUCACUGGGCGUAAAGGGCGCGUAGGCGGCUCAUGAAGGCUGUGGUGAAAGUCCGGGGCUCAACCUCGGAUCGGCCGUGGCGACUCGUGGGCUGGAGCACUGUAGAGGCGGGUGGAAUUCCGGGUGUAGCGGUGGAAUGCGUAGAGAUCCGGAAGAACACCGGUGGCGAAGGCGGCCUGCUGGGCUGUGGCUGACGCUGAGGCGCGACAGCGUGGGGAGCAAACAGGA